Long non-coding RNA from Bubalus bubalis (water buffalo), 3219 nucleotides. RefSeq lists it as uncharacterized. NCBI's taxonomy places the organism in Eukaryota, Metazoa, Chordata, Mammalia, Artiodactyla, Bovidae. The transcript is spliced from 6 exons. The record is from RefSeq and is a predicted model, not a curated record.
AACAGAAGCAUUGAUAGGAAUUGCAUUAGCAGGAGCUGCUCAAGUAGGCGGCCUGGUGACCCCAGCCAAGGUCAAAGGGGAAAACUGGGUCCACAGCAUUUGGUGCCAAACACCACCAGGAGUGGCCCUUACACAGCGCAUCAGAGACAUCUCUCUAUGCCAGACUAUUUGGAUGGACACUUGAGAAGCCAUGAUGUUUCUUGCUGAGGUGAGGAGACUCUGAAUGCAAAGCAAACGUUACUGUUAGAAGCAACGCCAGCCCACCAGCCAUAGACCAUGUGGGGAUCGGAGGAGAGGAACGUUGGUCCAGGUGCUGAGGCAACUUUCCAGUGACCGGGAUGGGGUACCAAGCAGCUUUCCCUAGAGCGCUGAAGGCACUGAGAUGGAAAUUCACAUGACAACGCUCAUUUCAGCCUGUCAUUUGUAAUUUGUGGUGGCUCUCUUGAGAUUCUGGGUGUACUGCCAGAAGAAACUGAGACAGUAGAGUUGCUGUUCUCCCCAGUGCUGGGCACACAGCAUUCCACCUACGUGAAGUUCAAAUGCGAGCAGAGCCAGUGGAGUGACAGAGAGGAGAGCAGAUACAGCAGUCUCCCUAGAAGUGAGGAGAAGACAACCUGGCCCCCAAACUCUUGACCUAAAUGAAAAGCCUGCAAAGAUGGUGGCAGGAGGACUUUUAGUAACGUGAGGAUAUGGAAUUGUUGCCUGGUUGUCGUUUCUUCAUCCUUCUGCCUGUCUCCUGAAAGAUCACACCUGGCGAAACCAGCCUUUGGGCACAGGAUUAUUCUAAGAUGAUCAACUAAUGAUAGAGAAGAUAUUGCAUUAUUUAUGUCCAUAGACAGAUGAAGGGUUGAAGAAGAUGUGGUGCAUACAUGCAAUGGAAUACUACUCAGCCAUAAACAGAAUGAAAUAAUGUCAUUUGUAGCAACCUGGAUAGACCUAGAGAUCAUCCAACUAAGUGAAGUCCUGAACUCCAUGUCCAUCACCCAUUUGCCCUCACUGGGGACAGAACUGGAGUGAUCGUGGUCCCACCUAUUCCUUGCCGCUUGGGGCCUGAACCCUCCAAGCUUGUCAUGGACACACAAGCUGGCAGAUUUGGUCUCGUCUCUAACCACGACUAGUCUCAGAGGAGGGGUGAAUACGCGGUUCCCCCGGCUGGUCCUUCAGGGAGAGGGUGCCUCAUCCCAGAGGACAGAAGAGAAGCAAACCUCUCAGGUGCAUCCCAGGAAAAUGGUGAACUUCCCUCAACUCCCUGCUGCCACCCUCGCGUUCUUCCUCCUCACCUCCAUAGACCCCCAUUGCGUGCAUGCUAAGUAACUUCAGUCACGUCUGACUCUUUGCGACUCCAUACACUGUAGCCCGCUAGGUUCCUCCAUCCAUGGGAUUUUCCGGGCAAGAAUACUGGAGUAGGCUGCCAUGCCCUCCUUCAGGGGAUCUUCCUGACCCAGAGAUCAAACCUGAGUCUCUUAUGUCUCCUGCAUUGGCAGGCAGGUUCUUUACUACUGGGCCACCUGGGAAGCCCCCAUAGACCCAUAACCAAUGGGGGCUAAAAGCAAUAUAGGGGGCCAAAAGCCUGGGGGUGGGGGACAAAAAUUUCCAACCUUGGCUAGCAAUCCCGUUUCCAUCCCCUGAUGGAUCCAGCCAGGGCUCCAAAAUGGCUAAAGCAGUAGAAUAGUGGCCAAGAAGGUGAAAUAAUAUGUACCUAUUUCAAAUGAUAAUUAUGCAGACUCUGGUAAAACAGAAAUGGCCUUGAUACACAUCAUGAUAAAAAGAAAAUAUGAAAUUCACUGUGCAUUCUGUUGGCUGUUUAAAAAGAGUACAUAAUUGUAAUAACAGAAUUUUUUUAUUUUCUCAUGAUAAGGCUUAGGACUAAUGUGCUAAUGAGAAUGUGCUUCGUUGCUUCAGUCAUGCCUGACUCUUUGAGACCCUAAGGACUGAGCCCACCAGGCUCUUCUAUUCCAUGGGAUUCUUCGCAGACCACCCUCAAAUAUGGCACAUAUUUGAAUAUUGGCAUAUUGAAUACUUUAAGGUGAUGAAGGGAUUUGAGGGAACAGCAGGUUCAGGAAGAGCUCUGGGACCUUCCCCAAGAGCCGAUCAUAGCAUGAGAGAGGUGCCCUUCCUCUACCUGGAGAAGAGCAUCAUUAUCACCAAGACUGAGGGACGCCGAGAAGAUUCCACACACACAGCCCUUGCUGUUUCUCCCACUUACCUACCGUUAGCUCAUAGCCUUUGUCCUAGCGUGUUUCCAUGCUGCCCCUUCUUCGCUAAGCCCAGCAUAGAAACACUCAAGUUAAAUCGUUCUUUUGGGCCUUAAUUUCCUUAUGAAAGUUGCCAAGUCAUGUAAAACUUACAUUAAGUAAAUUGGUAUGAUUUGCUUCUAUUGAUCUGUCUUUGUCAAUUUGAUCUUCACAUCUAAUCAGGGACUCUAGGAAGGGCCAGGAAAGCUUUUUCCUCUGCUACACUUGCGUGGUGUAAUAUUUAGGCUAAAAAGGAAACUGCUUUGUGAUGUUUUCUGUAGCAUUUGUAACGAGUCACAUCAUCAAAGAGAAUGCUUUUCCAUCCUUACAUGUCUCGUUCCAGACUAUAGAAAGUCAUGAUAUGUAAGAAACAUGAUAUGUAUAUCUCCAACAUAACAACUGAAUGCAGAGUAUAGGCCUUACAGGGGACUCUGAUUGGAACAAACUGGCUGUAAAAAGAGAUUUUUGUGAAAACUGGAGACAUUUGAUUAUGGAAUGAAUAUUGUUGUUCACUUGUGUCUGACUCUUUGUGAUCCCAUGGAUGGCAGCACAUCAGAUUUCCCUGUCCUUCACCAUCUCCUGGAGGUUGCUCAAACGUGUGUCCACUGAGUCAAUGAUGCUAAUCAACCAUCUCAUUCUCUAUUGCCCCUUUCUUCUCCUGCCCUCAGUCUUUCCCAGCAUCAGUGUCUUUUCCAAUAAGAUGAUAUUAAAAAUUCUUGUUAAUUUUUAAAGAUGUGCUAAUGGCAUGGUGGUUAUGCUAAAAAUUUACGUAUGUAUGUUAAAAACAUGAUUUAGAAAUUCGCUUUAAACUGUUUUUAAAUGUGUGGAGAAGACUCUUGAGAGUCCCCUAGACAGCAAGAAGACCAAACUAGUCAAGCCUAAAGAAAAUCAAUCCUGAAUAUUCAUUGGAAAGACAUGCUCCAAUACUUUGGUCACCUGAUGUGAAGAGCUGACUCAUUAGGAAAGAUCCUGAUGCUGGGAAAGA